Molecule: ribosomal RNA, 1467 nt
Filed under: Staphylococcus aureus
Lineage: Bacteria; Bacillati; Bacillota; Bacilli; Caryophanales; Staphylococcaceae
Description: partial 16S ribosomal RNA
Rfam family: Bacterial small subunit ribosomal RNA
Source: RNAcentral
GAUGACGCUGGCGGCGUGCCUAAUACAUGCAAGUCGAGCGAACGGACGAGAAGCUUGCUUCUCUGAUGUUAGCGGCGGACGGGUGAGUAACACGUGGAUAACCUACCUAUAAGACUGGGAUAACUUCGGGAAACCGGAGCUAAUACCGGAUAAUAUUUUGAACCGCAUGGUUCAAAAGUGAAAGACGGUCUUGCUGUCACUUAUAGAUGGAUCCGCGCUGCAUUAGCUAGUUGGUAAGGUAACGGCUUACCAAGGCAACGAUGCAUAGCCGACCUGAGAGGGUGAUCGGCCACACUGGAACUGAGACACGGUCCAGACUCCUACGGGAGGCAGCAGUAGGGAAUCUUCCGCAAUGGGCGAAAGCCUGACGGAGCAACGCCGCGUGAGUGAUGAAGGUCUUCGGAUCGUAAAACUCUGUUAUUAGGGAAGAACAUAUGUGUAAGUAACUGUGCACAUCUUGACGGUACCUAAUCAGAAAGCCACGGCUAACUACGUGCCAGCAGCCGCGGUAAUACGUAGGUGGCAAGCGUUAUCCGGAAUUAUUGGGCGUAAAGCGCGCGUAGGCGGUUUUUUAAGUCUGAUGUGAAAGCCCACGGCUCAACCGUGGAGGGUCAUUGGAAACUGGAAAACUUGAGUGCAGAAGAGGAAAGUGGAAUUCCAUGUGUAGCGGUGAAAUGCGCAGAGAUAUGGAGGAACACCAGUGGCGAAGGCGACUUUCUGGUCUGUAACUGACGCUGAUGUGCGAAAGCGUGGGGAUCAAACAGGAUUAGAUACCCUGGUAGUCCACGCCGUAAACGAUGAGUGCUAAGUGUUAGGGGGUUUCCGCCCCUUAGUGCUGCAGCUAACGCAUUAAGCACUCCGCCUGGGGAGUACGACCGCAAGGUUGAAACUCAAAGGAAUUGACGGGGACCCGCACAAGCGGUGGAGCAUGUGGUUUAAUUCGAAGCAACGCGAAGAACCUUACCAAAUCUUGACAUCCUUUGACAACUCUAGAGAUAGAGCUUUCCCCUUCGGGGGACAAAGUGACAGGUGGUGCAUGGUUGUCGUCAGCUCGUGUCGUGAGAUGUUGGGUUAAGUCCCGCAACGAGCGCAACCCUUAAGCUUAGUUGCCAUCAUUAAGUUGGGCACUCUAAGUUGACUGCCGGUGACAAACCGGAGGAAGGUGGGGAUGACGUCAAAUCAUCAUGCCCCUUAUGAUUUGGGCUACACACGUGCUACAAUGGACAAUACAAAGGGCAGCGAAACCGCGAGGUCAAGCAAAUCCCAUAAAGUUGUUCUCAGUUCGGAUUGUAGUCUGCAACUCGACUACAUGAAGCUGGAAUCGCUAGUAAUCGUAGAUCAGCAUGCUACGGUGAAUACGUUCCCGGGUCUUGUACACACCGCCCGUCACACCACGAGAGUUUGUAACACCCGAAGCCGGUGGAGUAACCUUUUAGGAGCUAGCCGUCGAAGGUGGGACAAAUGAUU